Molecule: long non-coding RNA, 3166 nt
Filed under: Anolis carolinensis (green anole)
Lineage: Eukaryota; Metazoa; Chordata; Lepidosauria; Squamata; Anolidae
Description: lncRNA (ENSACAG00000031112.2)
Source: RNAcentral
UUUCCAACAGACCUCAUAACCUCCGAGGAUGCCUGCCAUAGAUGUAGGCGAAACGUCAAGAGAGAAUGCUCCUGGAGCGUGGCCAUACAGCCCGGAACACUCACAGCAACCCAGUGGCUCAAUGCUGGGGGAUCUCCUUCUUUGCCCGAGAAGGGAGAUGCUUCCCCUUGUUACAAACCCGAGGACCCCAUUGCCUUGAAGCGGGGAGUCAGGCAGGCAGGAGGUGGGGCGAGGCCAGACAAAGCGGCGGCCCAACCUCUCUCUCUCUCUCGCUCUGUCUCUCUCUCCUUCGCCUUCGAGGAGGAGGCUGAGCCGGCCUUUGCUGCGUUGCGGCGCCGCUGCGUUGCCUGCUGGGCGCAUCUCCUCCUCGGAGGCGGGGAAGCCGGUCCCUCCCCUCAGCCUUGCCUUGCCUUGCCUUGCCUUGCAUUGGAAGGAGCCUCUCUCCCAGGACCGCUUUCCAAGAAAGAUCAAGGUGGAGAAAAGCUGUAUGAUGAAUCUAUAAGACAUGGAAGAUCUCUUUGAAGCUGAUUGAUGGCUCCUAUACUGAAUGAGAAGAGAAAGAUGAAGAAUCGCUUUCUAAAAUGUUCUGACAAAAUGUACAGUAUUGCAGUUAAUUUAUCCCACUGAAAUAAUUUCAGAACUCAAUUUUUGAAUGACACCAUUUGAUUCUGUCAAAAAUAAUCAGAAUAUAUAAUCACCAAAAGGACCACAUCCCCACACACUGUACACUGAAGAAAGAAUACAGAAAGAUGCCAUCCAUCACAAGAACUUCAGGUAGCCUGAUCAUAAUCAUAAACUAACUUUUCAUUAUCCUUUGGGCUGUCAGCAAGUGAGUAAACAAAUGAAAAAUGAUCUAAGAUGUGUGAAAUACCAUUACAUUACAUUGCACAUUAUAUGGGAUUUGUAGUUCUUGUGGUUCUGGGAUAUCGUACCUUUGAAGGCUUAACUUAAGAGUAGGAAUAUUUAAAGUCUAAGGGCCUCAAUUAAUCCACCACUGUGGUCAAGCUCAGUCCACAAACUGCCAUUGAGUCGCAUCUCUUUCAUGUGCACAUUGGCUGCUAUGAUAAUAGUUUGCUAUAGAGACUGGUGAGUAAGGCACCACAUCAGCACUCUUGCAUAGAAAGUGAGCUCAUGAAAGCUUCCCCUUAAAUGCAGUAUCAGGCCAGGUUCUCUGACUGCAACUCAAUGUACUCUCCUUCUUUAGGAGUUAGCCUCUGUGGACUCAGGAUUGCCUUAGAAUAAGGGUCUGGCAUAAGCUUACUAGUGUCUACAAAUGUCUUCAGAAACAUGAUAGGUUUAAAUAGGCAAAGACAGGUUCUGUAGGUUUGUUCUUAAGGUGAAUUUGUAAGUCAAAACAAGUACAUUUUAAGUGUAACUCCAGUCAAAUAUUUGGCUAUACACACACACACACACACACGCACACUGCAUAGCUGGAGCUACACUUUAAACUAUACCUGUUCCGACUUACAUAUAUCCAGCCAAUAUUUUAUUUAUUUAUUUAUUUAUAUAUAUAUAUAUACACACACACACACACACACACACACACACACACACAUGCUUUGGAUAGCAUAGGGAAGGAUUUACACCCCUGAGGUGUUUGUUUUGCUGUCUGUGUCCUUGUUCAGAAGAUUUCCCCUCACUUUCUCUCCCUAUGAGAAUUGGAUUUAGACAAAAUUAGCUUGUUGUGGAAACAAGAAUUGGUGACAGAGUUUCAGUGGAGCCCCCUUUCCCCUAUGGUAAUUCUCCCAGGAGUGGAUUUCCCUUCCCAGGUGUAGAUUUUUCUCACUUCCUGUUGUCUCAGCCUUGUUUGAAUUGUGUUGUCAAAGGCUUUCAUGGCCGGAAUCACUGAGUUGCUGUGAGUUUUCCGGGUUGUAUGGCCAUGUUCCAGAAGCAUUCUCUCCUGACGUUUGUUCCGCAUCUAUGGCAGGCAUCCUCAGAGGUAAUGAGGUCUGUUGGAAACUAGGCAAGUGGGGUUUAUAUAUCUAUGGAAUGUCCAGGAUGGGAGAAAAAACUCUUGUCUGCUUGAAGCAAGUGUCAGUGUUACUGGUCAGCUUGAUUAGCAUUUAAUAGCCUUGCAGCUUCAAGGCUUGGCUACUUCUUGCCUGGGGGAAUCUUUUGUUGGGAUGUGUUAGCUGGCCCUGAUUGUUUAAUGUCUGGAAUUCCCCUGUUUUCAGAAUGCUUUUUAUUUACUGUCCUGAUUAUAGAGUUUUUUUAAAAUACUGAUAGCCAGAUUGUGUUCAUUUUCAUGGUUUUCUCCUUUCUAUUGAAAUUGUCCACAUGCUUGUGGGUUUCAGUGGCUUCUCUGUGUAGUCUGACAUGAUGGUUGUUAGAGUGGUCCAGCAUUUCUGUGUUUUCAAAUAAUAUGCUGUGUUGGUUCAUCAAGAGCUCUGCUAUGGCUGACCUCUGGUUGAAUUAGUUUGCUGUGCCUUUCAUGUUCCUUGCUUCGUGUUUGGGCAUUGCUGCGUUUGGUGGUCCCUAUGUAGACUUACUUGUCCACAGCUGUAUGGUAUAUGGUAGACUCCUGCAGAGGUGAGAGGAUCCUUUUGCUGAACGUAGCAUUUGCUGGAUUUCUAAGAAGUCAGCCAUAGCAGAGCACCUGAUGAAUCAAGUAAUUAUUUGAGAACACAGAAAUGCUGGACCAGUUGAACAACCUCCAUGUCAGACUAGACUGAUUCCUCCCAGGGAAACCUGUAUGUAUAACUACCAUGUUUUUAAUAAUGAGUUCUGUGCUUCAUAAGCUAAACAUUAUUUUCCCCUUGAGUUCUUAUGACUUAAUGCAAGACUCAACACAACACAGCAGUUCAUUUCCAAACUCUUCUGCUUUUUACUGGAAUAAGAGGGGACAUUUCUAUUCACUAAUCAAGACUUACUCUCACCAGUAUUAAAAACUCUAAAAUCAAGGCAGUAAAUAAAUAACGAGCAACACUCAGAAGACGGGAAUUCCAGACAAGAAACAAUGAGGGCCAGUUAAUAACUCCCAACAAAGGAUUUCCCCAGGCAGGAAGCAAACAGGCUUUGAAGCUGCAGGGCCAUUGGAUGCUAAUCAAGCUGGCCAAUUGCAACAUUCACACUUGCCUCGGACAGACAAAAGUCUUUUCUCCCACCCUGGACAUUCCACUGAUAAACCUCACUUGCCUAGUUUCCAACAGACCUCUGAGGAUGCCUG